UAACGAAUCUUCCGCAAUGCGCGAAAGCGUGACGGAGCAAUGCCGCGUGCAGGAUGAAGCCUUUCGGGGUGUAAACUGCUGUCAGGGUUUAGCAACACAAUGAGCAGACCCAAAGGAAGGGCCGGCUAACUUCGUGCCAGCAGCCGCGGUAAUACGAAGGGCCCGAGCGUUAAUCGGAAUCACUGGGCUUAAAGCGUACGUAGGCGGACGCGCAGGCAUCUUGUGAAAUCCCUCGGCUCAACCGAGGAACUGCUUGGUGAACCGCGUGUCUUGAGGCAAGUAGGGGCUGUCGGAACGAUAGGUGGAGUGGUGAAAUGCGUUGAUAUCUAUCGGAACGCCGAAGGAGAAAUCAGGCAGCUGGGCUUGUUCUGACGCUGAGGUACGAAAGCGUGGGGAGCGAACGGGAUUAGAUACCCCCGUAGUCC
This 425-nucleotide ribosomal RNA is filed under the name uncultured prokaryote. RNAcentral describes it as "bacterial SSU rRNA". It matches the Rfam family "Bacterial small subunit ribosomal RNA", at positions 355 to 796 of the family's 1533-position model. The record is from RNAcentral.